GAGAAAGUAAAUGAUGACCCAAACAAAAAAUCUAUAAAUUAGUAAAUAUAUUUUUCUUCCUCUGGUUCUAUCACAUGGAUCUGGAGUAAGUAGACUAAAAUAAUAUAACGGUUCUAUGUUCUCGAUAACAAAUGAACAACCAAUAUCAAUAAAUAAAUGAGAAAAAUAAGAUUGUUUACCUACAAUCAUUGUUAUGAUAAAAAAAUAUUUUAAAGAUAACUUUUAAAUGAACAAUAUAAUUUGAUAAGAGUAAUUGAAAAUACCGGUCUUUUCAUCCAUUAACAUUCUAUUUGUAGUGAAAAAUUAUUUCUUUCAAC
This 317-nucleotide long non-coding RNA is filed under the name Trifolium pratense (red clover). RNAcentral's name for it is "long non-coding RNA (TPRA_LNC008184)". The record is from RNAcentral. Lineage: Eukaryota; Viridiplantae; Streptophyta; Magnoliopsida; Fabales; Fabaceae.